This 414-nucleotide ribosomal RNA is filed under the name Triticum aestivum (bread wheat). RNAcentral's name for it is "partial small subunit ribosomal RNA". The record is from RNAcentral. Lineage: Eukaryota; Viridiplantae; Streptophyta; Magnoliopsida; Poales; Poaceae.
AUGAGCACGAUCUCGUUGAGCGUGUCCGCCAUCCUCCCGAUGGAGGGCGGGAUGCAGCCGCCGAGCCGGUUGUGCGCGAGCACGACGACGGAGGCCGGCGAGUUGCCGAGGUUGGCGGGGAUGGGGUGGCGGAGGCGGUUGGAGUUGAGGAAGAUGGCGUCGAGCGGGCGGUCGAAGAGCGCCGGCGGGAUGGCGCCCUCGAAGUCGUUGAAGCGGAGGUCGAGGUACUUGAGGGACGGCAGCGCGAGCACCACCUCCGGGAAGGCGCCGACGAAGCGGUUGUUGCUGAGGUCGAGCUCGUGGAGCAGGCGCAGGCGGCGGAAGGUGUCGGGCACCACCCCGCAGAAGCGGUUGGAGUUGAGGUGCAGCAGCGCCAGGUCCGGGAGGCCGAGCGGGAGGGAGGCGGGGAUGUAG